RNAcentral lists this unclassified non-coding RNA (378 nucleotides) under plant metagenome. RNAcentral describes it as "partial contains 5.8S ribosomal RNA, internal transcribed spacer 2, and large subunit ribosomal RNA". The stretch from base 1 to 105 matches the Rfam family "5.8S ribosomal RNA", at positions 50 to 154 of the family's 154-position model. The record is from RNAcentral.
GAAAUGCGAUAAGUAAUGUGAAUUGCAGAAUUCAGUGAAUCAUCGAAUCUUUGAACGCACCUUGCGCUCCUUGGAAUUCCUUGGAGCAUGCCUGUUUGAGUAUCAUGAAAUCUUCAAAGUAAAUCUUUUGUUAACUCAAUUGGUUUCUACUUUGGUAUUGGAGGUCUUUGCAGCUUCACACCUGCUCCUCUUUGUUCAUUAGCUGGAUCUCAGUGUUAUGCUUGGUUCCACUCGGCGUGAUAAGUUAUCUAUCGCUGAGGACACUGUAAAAGGUGGCAAAGGUAAAUGCAGAUGAACCGCUUCUAAUAGUCCAUUGACUUGGACAAUACUUUUAUGAUCUGAUCUCAAAUCAGGUAGGACUACCCGCUGAACUUAAGC